RNAcentral lists this transfer RNA (71 nucleotides) under Capra hircus (goat). It matches the Rfam family "tRNA". From Rfam's summary of the family: Transfer RNA (tRNA) molecules are approximately 80 nucleotides in length. Their secondary structure includes four short double-helical elements and three loops (D, anti-codon, and T loops). RNAcentral also lists the same sequence under 1 other name. Lineage: Eukaryota; Metazoa; Chordata; Mammalia; Artiodactyla; Bovidae. The record is from Rfam by way of RNAcentral.
UCCCUGGUGGCCCAGCGUUAAAGAAUCUGCCUGUAAUGCAGGAGACCCAGGUUCAAUCCCUGGAUUGGGAA